AAUAGAUACCCUGGUAGUCCACGCCGUAAACGAUGAGUGCUAAGUGUUAGGGGGUUUCCGCCCCUUAGUGCUGCAGCUAACGCAUUAAGCACUCCGCCUGGGGAGUACGGUCGCAAGACUGAAACUCAAAGGAAUUGACGGGGGCCCGCACAAGCGGUGGAGCAUGUGGUUUAAUUCGAAGCAACGCGAAGAACCUUACCAGGUCUUGACAUCCCACUGACCGCUAUGGAGACAUAGUUUUCCCUUCGGGGACAGUGGUGACAGGUGGUGCAUGGUUGUCGUCAGCUCGUGUCGUGAGAUGUUGGGUUAAGUCCCGCAACGAGCGCAACCCUUGAUCUUAGUUGCCAUCAUUUAGUUGGGCACUCUAAGGUGACUGCCGGUGACAAACCGGAGGAAGGUGGAGAUGGACGUCAAAUCAUCAUGCCCCUUAUGACCUGGGCUACACACGUGCUACAAUGGACGGUACAAACGGUUGCCAACCCGCGAGGGGAGCUAAUCCGAUAAACCGUUCUCAGUUCGGAUUGUAGGCUGCAACUCGCCUA
Molecule: ribosomal RNA, 542 nt
Filed under: uncultured bacterium
Lineage: Bacteria
Description: bacterial SSU rRNA
Rfam family: Bacterial small subunit ribosomal RNA
Source: RNAcentral